ACUUUUUCAUGUGGAACAGCCACUGCACUUUGACCAUUGAUCUCAAUAAUGCGAUGGCCAACACGUAUACCACCCCUUUCAGCAAUGCCACCCCGAAGCAAACUGCAAAUUACACCAUUUUGCACGCUAAAACCAAGCUGAUAUUUCGUGUCCGGACGUUUGAUACGAACUUCUACAACUGGUGGCGUUUGAACAAUGGUAAUUUUGACGGCUGUCAGUGAACGAGCAUCCUUGAUAUGAUUCUGGCAUAUAUUCAAAGGCAAACCGACAAACGAGAUUCCAUUCAACGCGAUGAUGUGGUCUCCGAUGUUAAUCUUUUUACAUCUAGCUGCUGCACCUUCUGGCAACAUGUUCGCAAUCACCACCGUCGGCAACAUGCUUCCCCAUCCGGACUCAACAACUGCUACACCCAAAGGCUCGUCUUUCCGUUUCGGUAUAACAAUAUCUUUCUGAGUCUCUCUGUUAGAAAACAUUUCCAACUCAUCGCAAUAAAUUUCUUGGGAAUUCAAAACUUGCUGGUAAUCAAGCUCUUUGACAUAAGUCGGAUCGUCAAUUCCUCGAGAACGCAAAAAUUCCAUAUAUGCAACUUGAAAAGCUUGACCAAUCGACUGAGCUAUAAACUGCGCCUCUUCCGAUUCGAACACAUGACAAAUCAUCUUCGGCACUGCCAGAAUACCAUGUGAAGCAGUGAACCAAAAGUCAGGUUAAGGUGCCAGACAUUGGCGCUCAUGAAAUACCAGAAAAGGUGUUGGUCGAUAUAGACAGCAGGACGGUGGCCAUGGAAGUUGGAAUCCGCCAAGGAGUGUGUAACAACUCACCUGCCGAAUCGACUAGCCCUGAAAAUGGAUAGCGUUUGAGCGCCAGGCCCAUACCUGACCGUCUCAAUUACGCACUUUUUUUCGGAAAAGGUGUAAUGAACGUUGAGACGGGUAGGAAGGUCGCGACAGUGUUGCUUUGAAGAGUUUUGAGCGUGAGCUCGCUCGGAGCCGCUGUUGGCUGAAGUGGAGCAAGGUUCCAUGUGAACAGCAGUUGGACAUGGGUCAGUCGAUCCUAAGAAAACGGCGAAAGCUUGUUCGAAUUUGCGACAUGAAUUGUAAGACUGUGUGUGUUUAUUGUGUGUGCAGUUGUCGUAUGUUUUCGAAAGGGAAUCCGGUUGAUAUUCCGGAACCGAGUAACGGAGACAAAGAGUAGCGCUUUAAUCUCUCUGUGGGGUUGGCGUUCAACUCAAUCGCGCGGUAACGCAAGCGAACUCGGAAAAUGACCGUCGUGAGUUUCGAAAAGAGUUUUCUUUUCUUUUUAAGGGACGCAUUCCCUGGAACCGGGUUGUCCGGAGAUAGGGAUUCUGGUAUCCAUAAAACGCCGACUUUUUCACGGUGUUCGGAGCGCUCUCGUCGGUACGUGAAAAUCCGAGCGACGCCUGGUAAAUCUCGUACUUGGUCGUACUGAUAUCCGCAGCAGGUCUCCAAGGUGAAUAGCCUCUGGCCGAUAGAAUAAUGUAGGUAAGGGAAGUCGGCAAAACGGAUCCGUAACUUCGGAACAAGGAUUGGCUCUAAGGGCUGGGCCGAUCGGGCUGAGGUUUCAAGCGUGCAGUGUAUGCUUGGCUGAGUUGUGUUGAGGACUUGUUCACUUGCCGCCGUUUGUUCGGUUGGUCUAGUGUAUUCGAGUCUGAAGCAGAGCUGGCCGACAGACCGGCACGUGCAGAACCUGAGCUGCGCGGCUGUCCGUUUACGUGUACAGACCGUUUCGGUCGGCAUUCAACAGCCAACUUAGAACUGGCACGGACACAAGGAAUCUGACUGUAUAAUUAAAACAAAGCAUUGCGAUGGCCGAUGAUCGGUGAUGACGCAAUGUGAUUUCUGCCCAGUGCUCUGAAUGUCAAAGUGAAGAAAUUCAAUCAAGCGCGGGUAAACGGCGGGAGUAACUAUGACUCUCUUAAGGUAGCCAAAUGCCUCGUCAUCUAAUUAGUGACGCGUAUGAAUGGAUCAACAAGAUUCCUUCUGUCCCUAUCUACUAUCUAGCGAAACCACAGCCAAGGGAACGGGCUUGGCAAAAUCAGCGGGGAAAGAAGACCCUGUUGAGCUUGACUCUAGUCUGACUCUGUGAAGAGACAUGAAAGGUGUAGCAUAGGUGGGAGAUUGUCAAAUUGCCAUCGUUCGCGCGGUGGUCCGGUGAUCGCCAAUGAAAUACCACUACUUUGAUCGUUUCUUUACUUAUUCGGUAAAGCGAAAAAAUUGUGGCCAAUUUGGCGGUGUUUAUGUCGCUGUUGGUCAUUGUUUUCAUGUUAGAUUGAAGCUUUGUUUACAGCCGUCGCUUUGUGUCGCCAUUUGACGCAUUGUUGUACUGGGUUAUCCCGGUGU
RNAcentral lists this ribosomal RNA (2357 nucleotides) under Trichinella sp. T8. RNAcentral describes it as "eukaryotic LSU rRNA". The stretch from base 453 to 2357 matches the Rfam family "Eukaryotic large subunit ribosomal RNA", at positions 1 to 2588 of the family's 3401-position model. The record is from RNAcentral. Lineage: Eukaryota; Metazoa; Nematoda; Enoplea; Trichinellida; Trichinellidae.